NNNNNNNNNNNNNNNNNNNNNNNNNNNNNNNNNNNNNNNNNNNUUCCGUCCCGAGCUCCUUGGCGCUGCUGCCCCAGCACCGCCCCUUGCCUGCGCUGCACGGAUCCUCAGAGGCGAGGGCCAGUGGCUGUCUUCUCUGGGCCUCCUUAGAUGUUGUGUUUGCUGAGCGGAUUGUUUGCUUGCCGGCUCCAGCUCCGGGGCUGGCGGCUGACACUGCUCACCCGCGCUAAUUAGCUCAGCCAGCUGGUGCGUCCGCAAGGUUUUUCUGCGCGCUCCUCGGUGGGUGUUUCUUUUUUUAAACAUGAUCAAUGCCCUCUCCGGCUGGGCUCCCUCACACACUCCCUAUUGUUCUCCUGUUUGCAUUGUGCCCGGCUUCUGGUCAAGGACGCAGGGAGUCUGGGAAGGCGCGCACGCCCGGGGCUGGCAGGGAGCCUGCGGCGGAGCUCCACACAGCAGCUGCGGCUCGACCUCCCGCUGCCCCACGCCUGCAGCCUGCAGCGGUCUCUGCUACCGUGCUCAGCACCCCGGGGGGCUCUCGCGCCAGACACGUGGCAAGGAUGGGUGCUCCAGGGCGAAUUCCUCCCCCUCUGAGCCCCAGGGUCUGGGUAUGUCAAAGGAGGCCUCAGUUUCCAGUUCCGGUGCAGGUACUUCGGCCCUGUGGUUCUCAGAGGUCCCAGAAGGGCGUGAUGAGACGGGAUCCUCUUAGUGCAAGCGCCCAAGGAGGAAAAUACCCCCCACCCCGGGGGAGGGGAGCCAGGGAAGAGGCCACACCCAACAGGCCUGGCUCAAGGCUGGUCCCGCCCCCUCCAGCUGGCCCUGUAGCCCCCACGGUCCACGGGGAUCACUCUGCUUAUUUCGCCCAAGAGAUACAAACGGGGCCCCUCCUGCUCCUCUCCCCACUGUUGUCAGGCCGAGGUGACCCGGUGCAGAGACUGCGCAAGUAUGGAGUUGUUGACAACUCAUUCUGGGGUUUGGAUGCUCCCUGUUGCCGUCUCUGGAUGAAGUCAGAAGACACUGACAGAGCAGAUGCUGCAAAGCUUUUCUCAUGCUUCUCAGAGCUCUUGCAUGUUUUCGUGUCUUCAAAAAGAAACGUGGCAAUAAUACUUGUAAUAACUUUUUUUUUUUCUGGAAAACUUACUCAG
This 1142-nucleotide long non-coding RNA is filed under the name Oryctolagus cuniculus (rabbit). RNAcentral describes it as "lncRNA (ENSOCUG00000035461.1)". The record is from RNAcentral. Lineage: Eukaryota; Metazoa; Chordata; Mammalia; Lagomorpha; Leporidae.